UAAGAGGAGAAAAUGGAUUGCAAUGAUGCAUCUUCUCAAAAUAGAAUGAAAAAUCGCAGUUAAAGUAGCAUUGAGCUUCUGGAAAGAAGUGAUGCUGAAAUUCAUUUACUACAGGUUUAAGACUUGAUUGCAGCAAAGAGUGGAAUACCAAUCAGUAGAAGGUUGUUCUGGAUGAUCACCUUCCCAUAGCAACUUGCUGUAGCUGAAUACAGGAAUAAAAGAAUCUGUAAGAUUGUCACCCAAUACCCUCCUGCCUCCACCUCACCAAGAGUGACACUCACUGUCCUGCUUUGCCUAUGCUUUAUUCAGAAGCUCACAGUCUGUUAACAAUGGCAGUUCUGCAGCAGACACUGUGGAAAGAACAACCUGGGGAAGGACUAAAAGAGUUUAUCUGACUCUCACAAGCAGUGGACUAUUGAAAGAAUCAUCUGAAUUUGUUUGCAAGUGAUGUACUGAGAAAAGACACAGCUUUAAGUAACUUUGGAUGUGUUCAAAAGUUCAAAAUUGGAGUAAACCAGCUGUAUCUACAAAAUAACAGAAGCCUUUGCUCAUGAUUACAAUGAAUGUUUCAAGUUUUUGGCUCUGAAGCACAAAUGAUGCCAGGUACUUUGACUGCAAAGCACUGGAGUAUUUAAACUGGUAACUUUUUCAAGCAGUAGCUUCUUGUUGAUGUAUUUUAAUGAAAAAAGAUUUAUGCAAAAACCACAAAAUUGCAUGAUGUUCUUAGAAAAAGACAUCUGACUACAAAUGCUGCUGUCAGGCUGCUCAAAUGCCUGUAAAACCCACUGAAGUAAGGAAAUAAUAAUGAAAAAUAACAAUGUAGACCUUGUGCAGAUCAAAUUUAUACAAAUUCUCAGUUCUUUUCUGCACAGAGAAUUUAUAGAUUCUAAGUAAGUAAGAAGAAAAAGUAAGAAGAAAAGUAAGAUAAGUAAGAAGAAAAAAAAUGCAGAACAGAAAAAAGGAAUUUGAGCAUCCACAUUUAUUACAAAUAUAGUUAUGCUGUACAAGAUAUGAGUAUCAGAGAAGUGAGAUAAAUAUCAACACAUUUCAUAGGGGAUUUUAUGAUCUGGAAGUGCUCUGAGAGCCAUUAAAUUGGUUGACUGAUGCUUGGCUUCUUAAUGAGAAGCAAACCAUAACAGCCAAGCUUCAGACAUUUCACAAAACAUAAAAAGGAUAACUUUUUUUUACCCUAAAGAGCUAAGUAAAAAAUGCUAAAAAGAAUACUGAAGUGUGAUGACUAUGUUUAAAAUGAGAUUAUAUACUAAAACUGUUAGGAAAAAAUAGAAAAGAAAAUAGUAUUAUUUGCUAUAUCAGAAGUGAAAAAGGAAAGGAAGAUUAUAAAAAGAGAUGGAAUGAUAAAAGAUAAUAGAAUAUCAAACCAAGUCAAAGGUACCUUGUUCUUUCAUCUGGAAGCUUCUUUGGCUUUCCAGAUUAUUUCUGAUUUAAGAUGCUGAAGCAGUGGGGUCUUUUUUAAAUUACAUUUUAUUCUUCUCACACGUGAACUGAUGAUGUUGUCCUCUCAGAUUUCAGUUGUCAUUAUUUUGUCUUGCAUCAUGUAUAUUUCUGA
Molecule: long non-coding RNA, 1567 nt
Organism: Melopsittacus undulatus (budgerigar)
Lineage: Eukaryota; Metazoa; Chordata; Aves; Psittaciformes; Psittaculidae
Exons: 3
Source: RefSeq, a predicted model, not a curated record